ACGGAGGGUCCAAGCGUUAUCCGGAUUUAUUGGGCUUAAAGCGUGCGUAGGCGGUUUUAUAAGUCUGAGGUUAAAGUUUGCGGCUCAACCCGGGGAUGGCUUGGAAACUGUAAGACCUGAGUACAGUAGAGGUAAGCGGAAUUCCCAGUGUAGCGGUGAAAUGCUUAGAGAUGGGGAAGAACACCAAUGGCGAAGGCGGCUUACUGGGCUAUAACUGACGCUGAGGCGCGAAAGCUAGGGGAUCAAACGG
RNAcentral lists this ribosomal RNA (250 nucleotides) under uncultured prokaryote. RNAcentral describes it as "partial 16S rRNA". It matches the Rfam family "Bacterial small subunit ribosomal RNA", at positions 525 to 775 of the family's 1533-position model. The record is from RNAcentral.